This 1443-nucleotide ribosomal RNA is filed under the name metagenome. RNAcentral's name for it is "bacterial LSU rRNA". It matches the Rfam family "Bacterial large subunit ribosomal RNA", at positions 1470 to 2910 of the family's 2925-position model. The record is from RNAcentral.
GGACAUAUCGGGUCAUUGGAGAGGGUUAUAGAUCAUCCUCGAAUUAUACAACAGCGGACACUUAGGAAAAUCCGGGUGUCAUUUACGAAAGAGUAUAGUUUCUCUCAAAGUGAAAGCGUAAGCUCGAGCAAUGAGAAGUCCUACAAUGAUUUGGUAUCGAGAAAAGCCACUAAGGAGAAUUAUUUGAAACCGUACCGCAAUCGAACACUCGUGGGCUGGUGUGAGUACACCAAGGUGGACGGGAUAACUAUGCUUAAGGAACUCUGCAAAACAGCGGUCGUAACUUCGGGAUAAGACCUGCCUGGAGAGUAAUUUACUCUUCAGGCCGCAGCUAACGAGCCCAGGCGACUGUUUGCCAAAAACACAGCUCUCUGCAAACACGUAAGUGGAAGUAUAGGGGGUGAUGCCUGCCCAGUGCCAGAAGAUUACGGGGAGGGGUGCAAGCUCUGAACUUAAGUCCUGGUGAACGGCGGCCGUAACGAUAACGGUCCUAAGGUAGCGAAAUUCCUUGUCGGGUAAGUUCCGACCCGCACGAAUGGCAUAACGGUCUGGGCACUGUCUCAAGCAUAGUCCCGGUGAAAUUGCAAUAUCGGUAAAAAUGCCGAUUACUCGCAGCAAGACGGAAAGACCCUAUGAAGCUUUACUCUAACUUGGCACUGAUGUAUUCAGUUUGAUGCGCAGGAUAGGUGGGAGACUAUGAAAGAGACCCUCUGGGGUUUCCCGAGUCAUCCUUGAGAUACCACCCUCCACUCUGUGUACAUCUAACCCCAUAUUGGGGGACAGUGCUUGGCGGGGAGUUUAACUGGGGCGGUUGCCUCCUAAAAGAUAACGGAGGCGCACAAAGGUAUGCUAGUCCCGGAUGGAAAUCGGGAUGGUCGUGUAUUCGCAUAAGCAUGCUUAACUGAGAGACCAACAAGUCGAUCAGAUACGAAAGUAGGUGAAAGUGAUCCGGCACCAACAUGUGGGAGUGGUGUCGCUCAACGGAUAAAAGUUACUCUAGGAUAACAGGCUGAUUCCGUCCAAGAGUUCACAUCGACGACGGAGUUUGGCACCUCGAUGUCGGCUCGUCGCAUCCUGGGGGUGGAGAAGCUCCCAAGGGUAUGGCUGUUCGCCAUUUAAAGCGGUACGCGAGCUGGGUUCAGAACGUCGUGAGACAGUUUGGCCCCUAUCUGCUGUGAGCGUUUAGGAAUUUGAUGGGAUUUGCUCCUAGUACGAGAGGACCGGAGUGAACGAACCUCUGGUGGAUCAGCUGUCGCUCUAGCGGCACUGCUGAGUAGCUACGUUCGGAAUGGAUAACCACUGAAAGCAUCUAAGUGGGAAGCCAAUCCAAAGAUGAGAUUCCUCCAAGAAUUUAUUCUUGAUAAGUGCCCUUGGAGACUACAAGGUUGAUAGGUUGCAGGUGUACGAACAGUGAUGUUCUCAGCCGAGCAAUACUAAUAGCAC